This 480-nucleotide ribosomal RNA is filed under the name Calathus ambiguus. RNAcentral describes it as "eukaryotic LSU rRNA". It matches the Rfam family "Eukaryotic large subunit ribosomal RNA", at positions 442 to 808 of the family's 3401-position model. The record is from RNAcentral. Lineage: Eukaryota; Metazoa; Arthropoda; Insecta; Coleoptera; Carabidae.
UCUAAGGCUUAUAAUGGAGACCGUGGCAUUAAGUUUCGGCUUUAAUGACCCGGACUUAUAAUGUCCCGACAUCUAUCCGAUGGUAUAAUUAUGAUGAUAGAUCGCUAUAAAUGCGUAUGAGCGUUCAGAUCCAUAACAAAUUCUUUAUAUGUUAAUAAUAGUGGAAAUCGGAUUUAACGCCGAUUCUACACAUAUGGUAUUGAUAGUUGUGGUAUUCUCGAACCGUUCUUUAUCAUCAGUCAACGGCGUUUAUGUUUUGGGUAAUUACAGGACCCGUCUUGAAACACGGACCAAGGAGUCUAGCAUGUGCGCAAGUCAUUGGGACUUUGUGAAACCUAAAGGCGUAAUGAAAGUGAAAUAUUUGUGAAUUUUCGUAAUUCACUGAAUUUAAGGGAAGAUGGGUAACGUUAUUUAUGUUACCUCGCAUUCCCGGGGCGUCGCGUACUUAUUGCAAGUUGCGGCGCACCAAGAGCGUACACG